AUACGUAGGGGGCGAGCGUUGUCCGGAAUGAUUGGGCGUAAAGGGCGCGUAGGCGGCCCGGUAAGUCUGGAGUGAAAGUCCUGUUUUUAAGAUGGGAAUUGCUUUGGAUACUGUCGGGCUUGAGUGCAGGAGAGGUAAGUGGAAUUCCCAGUGUAGCGGUGAAAUGCGUAGAGAUUGGGAGGAACACCAGUGGCGAAGGCGACUUACUGGACUGUAACUGACGCUGAGGCGCGAAAGUGUGGGGAGCAAACAGGAUUAGAUACCCUGGUAGUCCACACUGUAAACGAUGAAUGCUAGGUGUAGGGGUAUCGACCCCUUCUGUGCCGCAGUCAACACAAUAAGCAUUCCGCCUGGGGAGUACGGCCGCAAGGUUGAAACUCAAAGGAAUUGACGGGG
Molecule: ribosomal RNA, 396 nt
Filed under: uncultured bacterium
Lineage: Bacteria
Description: partial 16S ribosomal RNA
Rfam family: Bacterial small subunit ribosomal RNA
Source: RNAcentral